Molecule: ribosomal RNA, 758 nt
Filed under: uncultured Neocallimastigales
Lineage: Eukaryota; Fungi; Neocallimastigomycota; Neocallimastigomycetes; Neocallimastigales
Description: partial large subunit ribosomal RNA
Rfam family: Eukaryotic large subunit ribosomal RNA
Source: RNAcentral
AGAGAGAGACAUGCGCGCAUAUCAAUAAGCGGAGGAAAAGAAACUAACAAGGAUUCCCCUAGUAACGGCGAGUGAAGCGGGAAGAGCUCAAAUUUGAAAUCUUAAAGGGUUUCCCUUUACGAAUUGUAGUUUAAAGAAGUGUUUUCUGUUGAGGUUUUGGUAAAAGUUCUUUGGAAUAGGACAUCAUAGAGGGUGAGAAUCCCGUAUUUGACCUUUACUUUCAACUUUGUGAUACACUUUCAAAGAGUCGGAUUGUUUGGGAAUGCAGUCCAAAAUGGGUGGUAAAUUUCAUCUAAAGCUAAAUAUUGGCGAGAGACCGAUAGCGAACAAGUACCGUGAGGGAAGAUGAAAAGAACUUUGAAAAGAGAGUUAAACAGUACGUGAAAUUGUCAAAAGGGAAGCGUUUGACACCAGUGUUGUUUUUCCGAAAAUCAAUUACGAAUGUUUUGUUUUUGAGGAGUUAUGACUUCAUCGGCUUGCUUCUCUCUUUACGAAACUUUCUUAAUGCACUUUUCGGUUAACAAGUCAACAUCAAUUUCUUUUGUUGUAAAAGGGUACGAGGAAGGUGGCUUUCUUUUCGGAGAAAGUGUUUAUAGCCUCUUGCCUAUGCAGUCGGAGAGAUUGAGGUCUGCAGCGUAGAUCCUUCGGGGCUAAAUGCAUUUGUGCUAAGUUAUAGCAUUUUAUAGACAACUUGUUGACUAUGAUUUGUCUUGUAGCUUACUCGCUUAUGUUAUUUUACCUACGCUUAGGAUGUUGAC